UACGUAGGGUCCGAGCGUUGUCCGGAAUCAUUGGGCGUAAAGCGCACGUAGGCGGCUUGGCAAGUCGGAUGUGAAAUCCCUCGGCUCAACCAAGGAAGUGCAUCCGAAACUGCUGAGCUUGAGUACUUAAGAGGAUCGCGGAAUUCCCGGUGUAGAGGUGAAAUUCGUAGAUAUCAGGAGGAACACCGAUGGCGAAGGCAGGUCUCUGGGCUGACACUGACGCUCAUGCACGAAAGCGUGGGGAGCAAACAGG
This 253-nucleotide ribosomal RNA is filed under the name uncultured bacterium. RNAcentral describes it as "partial 16S ribosomal RNA". It matches the Rfam family "Bacterial small subunit ribosomal RNA", at positions 524 to 776 of the family's 1533-position model. The record is from RNAcentral.